AUUUAAAUAGCUUAAGAUCUAAAGCAUAACAUUGAAGAUGUUAAGAUGAUUAAUAAAGUCUUUAAAUA
This 68-nucleotide transfer RNA is filed under the name Eublaberus distanti. RNAcentral describes it as "tRNA-Phe". It matches the Rfam family "tRNA". Rfam says of the family: Transfer RNA (tRNA) molecules are approximately 80 nucleotides in length. Their secondary structure includes four short double-helical elements and three loops (D, anti-codon, and T loops). The record is from RNAcentral. Lineage: Eukaryota; Metazoa; Arthropoda; Insecta; Blattodea; Blaberidae.